CAGAAAAUAGUUUAUAUAAAAUAUUAAUUUUGGAGAUUAAUGAUAGAGGCUAACUCUUUUUCUGA
This 65-nucleotide transfer RNA is filed under the name Euphylidorea dispar. RNAcentral's name for it is "tRNA-Pro". The record is from RNAcentral. Lineage: Eukaryota; Metazoa; Arthropoda; Insecta; Diptera; Limoniidae.